Molecule: microRNA precursor, 62 nt
Filed under: Murid betaherpesvirus 1 (Murine cytomegalovirus)
Lineage: Duplodnaviria; Heunggongvirae; Peploviricota; Herviviricetes; Herpesvirales; Orthoherpesviridae
Description: microRNA mcmv-mir-m59 precursor (mcmv-mir-m59-2)
Gene: mcmv-mir-m59-2
Source: miRBase by way of RNAcentral
UCCCGAAGAGCCCUCACAGAGCCUAAGUGUCCAUCGGACUUAGCCGCUGUCGGCCUCGGAAA